RNAcentral lists this small RNA (2253 nucleotides) under Cryptococcus neoformans H99. RNAcentral describes it as "Cryptococcus neoformans var. grubii H99 hypothetical RNA". The record is from RNAcentral. Lineage: Eukaryota; Fungi; Basidiomycota; Tremellomycetes; Tremellales; Cryptococcaceae.
UGAAGGGCUAAAUGUGUACUAUGCUCGAGAGGAGGGAGAUUGGGUGGAUGAAUAGGAUGAUGAGGGAGGAGAGGUGGUGAGCUGUUGUUUGGCGUUCGAAUGUAAGGUUGUUGUGUGAAAGAUGGAGUUUGAUAGAUGUUGUGAAACUCGGUCGGUUGAGAACGUGCAGAAGGAUUUGUACGCGGCGGCUGGAAACUCGGGAGCAUAGGUGCCUUCCUGACUACACCACUCGUAGCCACCCCAGCUUUGCCUAGUCUCCGCUGGAUCCCACGACGGCGCUGGGCUGACGGAUUGAGAACUGUGGCUUCGGCAUGGACUAGGCACCUGAUACUGGAUGGCGCUGUUGGUCGAGAUACCGCAGGCUGAGACAUUGUCCCCAAUAGAAGGAGCAGGAGGAUAGAGAGGAAAAGAAUGAUUGAGAUGGAACUGAGGAAGUGGGGCGUCGGCUGUGGCAGACAUCUUCUGGCUUACAUCAACGAGUGACGUGGGAUGAAAGUUGACGCCAUUCCGCUCAGAAACAGGAGCACGCCCAGACGAGUGACAAUAGGUGACACUCCUUUCGACGCAGGCACGACACGAGGCAUUAUCAUCAACCAUCAAAAUCAUAGCUGGUGUGACCCCUUCCUUCCAACUUGCCCCGCACGCGCGCGUAGUUGGAGACGGUGUGCUGGAAGCGAGCGGCUGUGAAGGGUAAAGAAAAGUGAGAGUACGGAAAAAAGAAAAGGAGAUUUGGUCUAGAAAUCAGCAAGCGACAGUGAUGAGAAGCAACACAGGUCAGCAUAGAGUAGCUUUGCUUCAAAACUGUCGGCAUGUCACUUAUUUUCUCGUUGAGACGCCGGUUCAGUCUCACAGAGACACGAAACUCGAAGAAAAGAUCAAUUUGCCUUCUUAACAUCCUCCAUUAGAUUUUAACGGUCAGGUGACAUCCCUAAAUCAAGGGUUAUGGAGAUGCGAUAGGAUGAAAAGGAGAGGAAGAGAUAGGAAAAAAGGAGAAAAGAUGGCGAUGACGUCUUUUGCGCUUGUAUCUUGUAAGUGAUCGUUGAAUAUAUCUCCUGGCUUGACCCAGACAAAUCGAACGCUACUCUUGGCCUUUUUUUAGAUCACCUUUGAUCAAAUUUUCAUGGUCACUUUUGAUCAUUUUGGUCUUGCUGAUGAAGGAUGGGAAGUUGGGAAUUGAUGGGGAUUAGGAUCAAUUAAAAUGGCAAGUGAUCUCUAGGAGAGAAAAACAGGAUAAAGUUUGUUUUUCUUUUAUUGACGCACUUGGUGUUAACCAUUGGCCGAAAAUACCAUACGGCUUAGAAAGGAAGGAAUUUACUUCAGCCUGCGACCAAAUUCAACCUCCAUACAUUGCAGCCGAUUAACUUACUUCGUCUAGGGUAACAGUACUUAGCCCCUAUAUCAUCAAGCGCACCGCUACGCCUGCUGUUGCUGUCAAGGAGGAUAAGUAUUCGAAGGCGAGAGGAUGGAAAGGAAGGACCAUAUCAGGCUGUAAGGCAAGGCUGUUGCAACAUCCCUUUCCACCAUUUUUGGCUGCGCUCUGGCCUCUAGUUUCUAGAUAGGCAGGUUUGAGUCCGCCUCCGAUUUGGGCUUUCUCUUUUACGUCAUCCGUAUUCCUUGCUUGCCCUUUGAUAUCAACGACUGCAAUGGCUACCCUCUUCCGACAGCUGCCAAGCGCGCCUCCAGAUCCCAACUCUCACAGCUUCCGCCCUUUACUUGACUGGCAUUCCGCUUCUCCUCCACCUCCCGCCACCCUAGUACUCUUUCUUUGACUCUUGAACCUUCCCAUUAUUUCCUAACUAUCAAAAUCCCGACCCCUAUACUGUAGACUGAUUAACUGCCACUUAUUAUCACUCAAGGCGUCACUGUUAUGUACCUUCAACCUAAAAAAACAGUAGAUCAGCAACUGGAAUCCAUCAAGGAUUGAGAGGCAUCAAUUAAUUGUACGACAGUGAGUGGUGAAACGAACUCGCAAGCUGAGAGACUGAUAGUUAGGUCGUUGACAGGGAUUACCUACAAUUCGCUGUAUAAACAUGGAACACAUCUAAUAUUAUUUAAAAUUAGAAACAGAGAAGUCGGAACCCUAAAGAUUGCGUCGCGUACGAUACAGUUGCAGUUACGUGUAGUUUGAAAAAAAAAAAAUCAAAAGAAAAAGUUGUAAGAUCAUCAUAUGAAAGUGGAAGAAGCGCAGUAUGGAACAGAUAGAAAGCGUACCACAAGCCAAAGUCAAGAAUAUGCACAAAAGAAAGAAACAUG